This 439-nucleotide ribosomal RNA is filed under the name uncultured bacterium. RNAcentral describes it as "partial 16S ribosomal RNA". It matches the Rfam family "Bacterial small subunit ribosomal RNA", at positions 338 to 795 of the family's 1533-position model. The record is from RNAcentral.
CCUACGGGAGGCAGCAGUGGGGGAUAUUGCACAAUGGAGGAAAGUCUGAUGCAGCGACGCCGCGUGAGGGAAGACGGUCUUCGGAUUGUAAACCUCUGUCUGUGGGGAAGAAAAUGACGGUACCCAAAGAGGAAGCUCCGGCAAACUACGUGCCAGAAGCCGCGGUAAUACGGAGGGAGCGAGCUUAGUCCGGAAUGACUGGGUGAAAAGGGAGCGGAGGCGGGCGAGAAAGCUGAAUGUUAAGUCGACCGGCUAAACUGGUAGCUGCGUUCAAAACUUCUUGUCUUGAGUGAAGUAGAGGCAGGCGGAAUUCCUGGUGUAGCGGUGAAAUGCGUAGAUAUUAGGAGGAAUACCAGUGGCGAAGGCGGCCUGCUGGGCUUUAACUGACGCUGAGGCUCGAAAGCGUGGGGAGCAAACAGGAUUAGAUACCCUGGUAGUC